CCAGACUCCUACGGGAGGCAGCAGCGAGGAAUAUUGGUCAAUGGGCGGAAGCCUGAACCAGCCAAGUCGCGUGAGGGAAUAAGGCCCUACGGGUCGUAAACCUCUUUUGCCGGGGAGCAAGGACCGGGACGAGUCCCGGUCCGGAGAGUACCCGGAGAAAAAGCAUCGGCUAACUCCGUGCCAGCAGCCGCGGUAAUACGGAGGAUGCGAGCGUUAUCCGGAUUUAUUGGGUUUAAAGGGUGCGUAGGCGGGCUUUUAAGUCAGCGGUAAAAAUUCGGGGCUCAACCCCGUCCGGCCGUUGAAACUGGGGGCCUUGAGUGGGCGAGAAGAAGGCGGAAUGCGUGGUGUAGCGGUGAAAUGCAUAGAUAUCACGCAGAACCCCCAUUGCGAAGGCAGCCUUCCGGCGCCCUACUGACGCUGAGGCACGAAAGUGCGGGGAUCGAACAGGAUUAGAUACCCUGGUAGUCCGCACAGUAAACGAUGGAUGCCAGCUGUCCGGGCCGAAUGGGGCCUGG
Molecule: ribosomal RNA, 515 nt
Filed under: uncultured bacterium
Lineage: Bacteria
Description: bacterial SSU rRNA
Rfam family: Bacterial small subunit ribosomal RNA
Source: RNAcentral